Molecule: long non-coding RNA, 447 nt
Organism: Humulus lupulus (European hop)
Lineage: Eukaryota; Viridiplantae; Streptophyta; Magnoliopsida; Rosales; Cannabaceae
Exons: 3
Source: RefSeq, a predicted model, not a curated record
CUUAUCACUUUGCACGACCAAGACUCUGAAAAACAGAGAGAAAAGAAAACCAAAAACCAUUUCUUGUCUGGUUUGAAGAGAUUCUAAGGAGAUCCAAGUGAAAUCAAAGCCAAAGAAGUGGAUUAAACUUAGUUUUGGCCUUUUUAUGGAUAAGCAUAUCAACACCUAAGACACCACUUGUUACACGGUGAAAUAUAUUUUGGACAGAAGGUAGAGAAAUAAAUGAGUGAAUGACAUAAGGAGAAUUGAAGCAUGGUCCUGACCCUGAUUUGUACAUAUGAACACAUCGACCUUUUGUGGGUUAUUUCAGUUUAUCAAUGUGAUAUUUGUAAUAAAGUGUGAAGUUAUGUUUUGAAAACAAAUUGAGUUAUUUAAUACUUAUGUAUAAUAUGUUUGAGACACACUUUAUGUUUAAUGUAAAUAAUGCGAAAUAAGUUUUUUUUUUUU